GAUGAACGCUAGCUACAGGCUUAACACAUGCAAGUCGAGGGGAAACGACAUCGAAAGCUUGCUUUUGAUGGGCGUCGACCGGCGCACGGGUGAGUAACGCGUAUCCAACCUGCCCACCACUUGGGGAUAACCUUGCGAAAGUAAGACUAAUACCCAAUGAUAUCUCUAGAAGACAUCUGAAAGGGAUUAAAGAUUUAUCGGUGAUGGAUGGGAUGCGUCUGAUUAGCUUGUUGGCGGGGUAACGGCCCACCAAGGCGACGAUCAGUAGGGGUUCUAAGAGGAAGGUCCCCCACAAUGGAACUGAGCCACGGUCCAAACUCCUACGGGAGGCAGCAGUGAGUAAUAUUGGUCAAUGGGCGAGAGCCUGAACCAGCCAAGUAGCGUGCAGGAUGACGGCCCUAUGGGUUGUAAACCGCUUUUAUAAGGGAAUAAAGUGGGAGUCGUGACUCCUUUUGCAUGUACCUUAUGAAUAAGGACCGGCUAAUUCCGUGCCAGCCGCCGCGGUAA
This 507-nucleotide ribosomal RNA is filed under the name uncultured bacterium. RNAcentral's name for it is "partial 16S ribosomal RNA". It matches the Rfam family "Bacterial small subunit ribosomal RNA", at positions 28 to 523 of the family's 1533-position model. The record is from RNAcentral.